RNAcentral lists this ribosomal RNA (892 nucleotides) under Peniophorella aspersa. RNAcentral's name for it is "partial large subunit ribosomal RNA". It matches the Rfam family "Eukaryotic large subunit ribosomal RNA", at positions 60 to 968 of the family's 3401-position model. Lineage: Eukaryota; Fungi; Basidiomycota; Agaricomycetes; Hymenochaetales. The record is from RNAcentral.
AGAAACUAACAAGGAUUCCCCUAGUAACUGCGAGUGAAGCGGGAAGUAGCUCAAAUUUAAAAAUCUGGCGGUUCUGCCGUCCGAGUUGUAAUCUGGAGAAGCGUUUUCUGUGCUGGACCGUGCAUAAGUGUCUUGGAAUAGGACGUCAUAGAGGGUGAGAAUCCCGUCUUUGGCACGGACUACCAGUGCUCUGUGAUACGCUCUCAAAGAGUCGAGUUGUUUGGGAAUGCAGCUCAAAAUGGGUGGUAAAUUCCAUCUAAAGCUAAAUAUAGGCGAGAGACCGAUAGCGAACAAGUACCGUGAGGGAAAGAUGAAAAGCACUUUGGAAAGAGAGUUAAACAGUACGUGAAAUUGUUGAAAGGGAAACGCUUGAAGUCAGUCGCGUUGUCCAGGACUCAACCUUGGUUCUCCUUGGUGUAUUUCCUGGUUAACGGGUCAACAUCAAUUUUGAUCGGUGGAUAAAGGCAGGGGGAAUGUGGCACCCUCGGGUGUGUUAUAGCCUCUUGUCGUAUACACUGGUUGGGAUUGAGGAUAUCACGCCCUCGGCGGUAGGAUGUUGACAUAAUGGCUUUAAGCGACCCGUCUUGAAACACGGACCAAGGAGUCUAACAUGCCUGCGAGUGUUAGGGUGGUAAACCCUUGCGCGUAAUGAAAGUGAAAGUUGGGACCUCUUUGAGGGCACCGACGCCCGGCCUUGAACUCUUGUGACGGUGCUGCGGUAGAGCAUGUAUGUUGGGACCCGAAAGAUGGUGAACUAUGCCUGAAUAGGGCGAAGCCAGAGGAAACUCUGGUGGAGGCUCGUAGCGAUUCUGACGUGCAAAUCGAUCGUCAAAUUUGGGUAUAGGGGCGAAAGACUAAUCGAACCAUCUAGUAGCUGGUUCCUGCCGAAUUU